AGUGAACGCUGGCGGUAGGCCUAACACAUGCAAGUCGAACGGCAGCACAGUAAGAGCUUGCUCUUACGGGUGGCGAGUGGCGGACGGGUGAGGAAUACAUCGGAAUCUACUUUUUCGUGGGGGAUAACGUAGGGAAACUUACGCUAAUACCGCAUACGACCUACGGGUGAAAGCAGGGGAUCUUCGGACCUUGCGCGAUUGAAUGAGCCGAUGUCGGAUUAGCUAGUUGGCGGGGUAAAGGCCCACCAAGGCGACGAUCCGUAGCUGGUCUGAGAGGAUGAUCAGCAACACUGGAACUGAGACACGGUCCAGCCUCCUACGGGAGGCAGCAGUGGGGAAUAUUGGACAAUGGGCGAAAGCCUGAUCCAGACAUACCGCGUGGGUGAAGAAGGCCUUCGGGUUGUAAAGCCCUUUUGUUGGGAAAGAAAAGCAGCAGGUUAAUACCCCGCUGUUCUGACGGUACCCAAAGAAUAAGCACCGGCUAACUUCGUG
RNAcentral lists this ribosomal RNA (492 nucleotides) under uncultured bacterium. Its description in RNAcentral is "partial 16S ribosomal RNA". It matches the Rfam family "Bacterial small subunit ribosomal RNA", at positions 29 to 507 of the family's 1533-position model. The record is from RNAcentral.